UCAGUUUUAUUUACAAAACACUUUAAAAAAAAUUAUCAAAACAUGUUCAAAGGUAAUUUUUCAGUCUCGAGAGCAGCUUUAACUUUUUAAAAUCCAGCCAAACGGGCCUUUAUAUAGGAAUAGUAAAGCCAGGAGGCAAUACAGGAAAACCAAAUAUUUAUUCAGCUGGAUAAAUAAGUAAAAGACUUGCAACUAAAAUAGACCUACAAAAUAGAAAAGCGUGAAUAAGCUGUAACAAUUCACACUCCCAAGUUCAUAUACCUUGCAUCAGCACAAAUAGUAAAUCUUACAGCCACCCAAAGGCAAGACUCCAAAUAACUCAAUCAUUAACAUCUCCAAUCUAAAUCACCAAUGUCGUGGAACAAAUAUAAAAUAUAGCGAGCAUCUGCACAUGUAUCUUCAAUAAUUGUCGCUGGAGGUCGUCUGUCGUCUUUCCUUUACACCCUGUAACGUAGCACUUUUUUCGUUAUGAUGGAACAAUAUGGAAGAACAAUUUGAAGUAACAAAAUGAUAGAACAAUUUUUCGUUAAGACAGCUUUAAGACGCACGAACAAUACAUUAUGU
Molecule: long non-coding RNA, 564 nt
Filed under: Olea europaea (common olive)
Lineage: Eukaryota; Viridiplantae; Streptophyta; Magnoliopsida; Lamiales; Oleaceae
Description: long non-coding RNA (OEUR_LNC011275)
Source: RNAcentral